Molecule: unclassified non-coding RNA, 334 nt
Filed under: soil metagenome
Description: partial contains 5.8S ribosomal RNA, internal transcribed spacer 2, and large subunit ribosomal RNA
Rfam family: 5.8S ribosomal RNA (bases 1-120)
Source: RNAcentral
GAUGAAGAACGCAGCGAAAUGCGAUAAGUAAUGUGAAUUGCAGAAUUCAGUGAAUCAUCGAAUCUUUGAACGCACAUUGCGCCCGCCAGUAUUCUGGCGGGCAUGCCUGUUCGAGCGUCAUUUCAACCAUCAAGCCCUGCUUGCGUUGGGGUCCUGCGGCUGCCCGCAGGCCCUGAAAACCAGUGGCGGGCUCGCUAGUCACACCGAGCGCAGUAAUACAUCUCGCUUUGGGCGUGCGGCGGGUUCUUGCCGUUAAACACCCCCUUUUUACCAAGGUUGACCUUGGAUCAGGUAGGAAUACCCGCUGAACUUAAGCAUAUCAAUAAGCGGAGGA